RNAcentral lists this transfer RNA (71 nucleotides) under Caudoviricetes sp. RNAcentral describes it as "tRNA-Ser". The record is from RNAcentral. Lineage: Duplodnaviria; Heunggongvirae; Uroviricota; Caudoviricetes.
GUAGUAUAUGGUUGAUUUUAUUUUGCUUUGGGAGCAGAGGGUCGCAGGUUCGAAUCCUGUCACCCCGACUA